AAGUCGUAACAAGGUUUCCGUAGGUGAACCUGCGGAAGGAUCAUUACAGAGUUCAUGCCCUCACGGGUAGAUCUCCCACCCUUGAAUAUAUUACCUCUUGUUGCUUUGGCGGGCCGCCUAGUCCACUGGCUUCGGCUAGUGAGUGCCCGCCAGAGGUUAACAAACUCUGAUUUAUAGUGUCGUCUGAGUACUAUAUAAUAGUUAAAACUUUCAACAACGGAUCUCUUGGUUCUG
RNAcentral lists this unclassified non-coding RNA (234 nucleotides) under fungal sp. RNAcentral describes it as "partial internal transcribed spacer region". The stretch from base 1 to 46 matches the Rfam family "Eukaryotic small subunit ribosomal RNA", at positions 1786 to 1831 of the family's 1831-position model. The record is from RNAcentral. Lineage: Eukaryota; Fungi. RNAcentral also lists the same sequence under 1 other name.